RNAcentral lists this ribosomal RNA (254 nucleotides) under uncultured bacterium. Its description in RNAcentral is "partial 16S ribosomal RNA". It matches the Rfam family "Bacterial small subunit ribosomal RNA", at positions 524 to 776 of the family's 1533-position model. The record is from RNAcentral.
CACGUAGGGACCAAGCGUUGUCCGGAUUCAUUGGGCGUAAAGAGCUCGUAGGCGGUUCGAUAAGUCGGGUGUGAAACCUCCAGGCUCAACCUGGAGACGCCACCCGAUACUGUCGUGACUAGAGUCCAGUAGGGGAGCGUGGAAUUCCUGGUGUAGCGGUGAAAUGCGCAGAUAUCAGGAGGAACACCAGCGGCGAAGGCGGCGCUCUGGGACGGUACUGACGCUGAGACGCGAAAGCGUGGGGAGCAAACAGG